Molecule: ribosomal RNA, 490 nt
Filed under: uncultured bacterium
Lineage: Bacteria
Description: partial 16S ribosomal RNA
Rfam family: Bacterial small subunit ribosomal RNA
Source: RNAcentral
AGUGAACGCUGGCGGUAGGCCUAACACAUGCAAGUCGAAUGGCAGCACAGUAAGAGCUUGCUCUUACGGGUGGCGAGUGGCGGACGGGUGAGGAAUACAUCGGAAUCUACUUUUUCGUGGGGGAUAACGUAGGGAAACUUACGCUAAUACCGCAUACGACCUACGGGUGAAAGCAGGGGAUCUUCGGACCUUGCGCGAUUGAAUGAGCCGAUGUCGGAUUAGCUAGUUGGCGGGGUAAAGGCCCACCAAGGCGACGAUCCGUAGCUGGUCUGAGAGGAUGAUCAGCCACACUGGAACUGAGACACGGUCCAGACUGCUACGGGAGGCAGCAGUGGGGAAUAUUGGACAAUGGGCGCAAGCCUGAUCCAGCCAUACCGCGUGGGUGAAGAAGGCCGUCGGGUUGUAAAGCCCUUUUGUUGGGAAAGAAAAGCAGCAGGUUAAUACCCCGCUGUUCUGACGGUACCCAAAGAAUAAGCACCGGCUAACUUCG